CUAAGACGUUGAUAGGCUGGGUGUGUAAGCGUAGCGAUACGUUGAGCUAACCAGUACUAAUGAACCGUGAGGCUUAACCU
RNAcentral lists this ribosomal RNA (80 nucleotides) under Proteus mirabilis. RNAcentral's name for it is "23S rRNA. Bacterial LSU". The record is from RNAcentral. Lineage: Bacteria; Pseudomonadati; Pseudomonadota; Gammaproteobacteria; Enterobacterales; Morganellaceae.